UACGGGGGGAGCAAGCGUUGUUCGGAUUUACUGGGCGUAAAGGGCGCGUAGGCGGUCAGCACAAGUCAGUUGUGAAAUCUCCGGGCUUAACUCGGAAAGGUCAACUGAUACUGUGCGACUAGAGUGCAGAAGGGGCAACUGGAAUUCUCGGUGUAGCGGUGAAAUGCGUAGAUAUCGAGAGGAACACCUGCGGCGAAGGCAGCUCGCUGGGACGGUACUGACGCUGAGACGCGAAAGCGUGGGGAGCAAACAGG
This 254-nucleotide ribosomal RNA is filed under the name uncultured bacterium. Its description in RNAcentral is "partial 16S ribosomal RNA". It matches the Rfam family "Bacterial small subunit ribosomal RNA", at positions 524 to 776 of the family's 1533-position model. The record is from RNAcentral.